This 548-nucleotide ribosomal RNA is filed under the name uncultured bacterium. Its description in RNAcentral is "bacterial SSU rRNA". It matches the Rfam family "Bacterial small subunit ribosomal RNA", at positions 355 to 896 of the family's 1533-position model. The record is from RNAcentral.
UAGGGANUCUUCCGCAAUGGGCGAAAGCCUGACGGAGCAACGCCGCGUGAGUGAAGAAGGAUUUCGGUUCGUAAAGCUCUGUUGUUAGGGAAGAAUGAUUGUGUAGUAACUAUACACAGUAGAGACGGUACCUAACCAGAAAGCCACGGCUAACUACGUGCCAGCAGCCGCGGUAAUACGUAGGUGGCAAGCGUUGUCCGGAAUUAUUGGGCGUAAAGCGCGCGCAGGUGGUUUAAUAAGUCUGAUGUGAAAGCCCACGGCUCAACCGUGGAGGGUCAUUGGAAACUGUUAAACUUGAGUGCAGGAGAGAAAAGUGGAAUUCCUAGUGUAGCGGUGAAAUGCGUAGAGAUUAGGAGGAACACCAGUGGCGAAGGCGGCUUUUUGGCCUGUAACUGACACUGAGGCGCGAAAGCGUGGGGAGCAAACAGGAUUAGAUACCCUGGUAGUCCACGCCGUAAACGAUGAGUGCUAAGUGUUGGUCUCAUAAGAGAUCAGUGCUGCAGCUAACGCAUUAAGCACUCCGCCUGGGGAGUACGACCGCAAGGUUG